RNAcentral lists this transfer RNA (610 nucleotides) under uncultured Prochlorococcus sp. RNAcentral's name for it is "partial contains 16S ribosomal RNA, 16S-23S ribosomal RNA intergenic spacer, and 23S ribosomal RNA". The stretch from base 226 to 298 matches the Rfam family "tRNA". Lineage: Bacteria; Bacillati; Cyanobacteriota; Cyanophyceae; Synechococcales; Prochlorococcaceae. The record is from RNAcentral.
UGGAUCACCUCCUAACAGGGAGACAACAAAAUGUUUAAUAUUAUUAUUUUGUCACCUUAGGUCGAUCGGUAUCUCACGUUCUUAAUUUAUUAAGAAUUUCAUUUCCUAAGUUUUUCUAGGUCACACCCAUUAUUUUCCUGGGCCAUUAGCUCAGGUGGUUAGAGCGCACCCCUGAUAAGGGUGAGGUCCCUGGUUCAAGUCCAGGAUGGCCCAUAUCUCUAUGUUGGGGGUAUAGCUCAGUUGGUAGAGCGCCUGCUUUGCAAGCAGGAUGUCAGCGGUUCGAGUCCGCUUACCUCCACUGAUCACCACCUCUUCCAUAAUCGAUAGAAAGGAAAUGUUUUGAGUUGUGAUCUAAUUCUGAACGAAUCUAGCUUCCUAAUGAAAUUAUUAAGAUGCUGGACUCAUUGAAUUAAUUUCAUUGUUUUCAGAGAACCUUGACAACUGCAUAGAUUAUUUUUUAAAGACAAUAAGCAUCUUUAAUGAUGCAGAUUUAUUAUUUGUGCAAAUGCAUUAAUAACAAUUCUAUUAAGCUGAUGCUUCAAUUUUGAAGUUAUUGGUCAAGCUACAAAGGGCUCACGGAGGAUACCUAGGCACACAGAGGCGAUGAAGG